CAAGAAAGAAUUCUCUAGCCUGCUGGCCUUCAGCCUGGCAUUGCAGCAUUGGCCCUCCAGCCUGCCAGCCAGCCAUGCAGAAUUUGGAUUGCCUGCCUCCAUACUUGGAUUCCUGCCUCUGUCCCAAGAAAAACGUGCUCCUGGUCCCACCUGCUGAUUCAAGGAGGAAUGACACUGUCUGGAGCAGACCUGGGCCCAAACUGAAGUUGGAGUCAAAUCCAAUGGAGCCCAGGCUAGAUCAGCCAUUCCCAGCCAAUCCACAGACACUGGAGUGAGAAAACAUAAAGCUCCAAGCUCACCACCAACACAGUACGAGCUAUGAAUACAAGGAAAAGGAGAUCGCGCAGGCCGGAAGGCUGAUUGGAGAAGGAGAACCUUGACAGCAGCUACUUCUAGAUCUUCGCUGACAAGUGAAGAUGACAGUGCAUCUGAAAAACUGAAUAUUUACUGUAUUUUAAUUUAAAAAUUGAUACUGGUUUCAGUUCUUGGAAAGCUGAAUCAAGUUGUUUGGAACAACUGAGGUAUGUGGAGCUACUUUUCAACUGUCAGUUUAAUGAAAUCUAAAUACAACCAAGUAUUUCCGAUGACAAUCUAGUGCCUGACUCAAGA
This is a long non-coding RNA of Myotis daubentonii (Daubenton's bat), 609 nucleotides long. RefSeq lists it as uncharacterized. The record is from RefSeq and is a predicted model, not a curated record. Lineage: Eukaryota; Metazoa; Chordata; Mammalia; Chiroptera; Vespertilionidae. The transcript is spliced from 4 exons.